GGUUAACCGUAUAGGGGAGCCGUAGAGAAAUCGAGUCUUAAUAGGGCGUUUAGUUGCUGGGUAUAGACCCGAAACCAGGCGAUCUAUCCAUGAGCAGGUUGAAGGUUGGGUAACACUAACUGGAGGACCGAACCCACUGUCGUUGAAAAGCCAGGGGAUGACUUGUGGAUAGGGGUGAAAGGCUAAUCAAGCCUGGUGAUAGCUGGUUCUCCCCGAAAGCUAUUUAGGUAGCGCCUCGGACGAAUACCAUAGGGGGUAGAGCACUGUUUCGGCUAGGGGGUCAUCCCGACUUACCAAACCGAUGCAAACUCCGAAUACCUAUGAGUACUAUCCGGGAGACAGACUGCGGGUGCUAACGUCCGUAGUCAAGAGGAAAACAAUCCAGACCGCCAGCUAAGGCCCCAAAAUCAUAGUUAAGUGGGAAACGAUGUGGGAAGGCAUAGACAGCUAGGAGGUUGGCUUAGAAGCAGCCACCCUUUAAAGAAAGCGUAAUAGCUCACUAGUCGAGUCGGCCUGCGCGGAAGAUGUAACGGGGCUAAAACUAUGUGCCGAAGCUGCGGA
This 561-nucleotide ribosomal RNA is filed under the name Acinetobacter baumannii. RNAcentral describes it as "bacterial LSU rRNA". It matches the Rfam family "Bacterial large subunit ribosomal RNA", at positions 644 to 1206 of the family's 2925-position model. RNAcentral also lists the same sequence under 1 other name. The record is from RNAcentral. Lineage: Bacteria; Pseudomonadati; Pseudomonadota; Gammaproteobacteria; Moraxellales; Moraxellaceae.